This 328-nucleotide ribosomal RNA is filed under the name uncultured eukaryote. RNAcentral describes it as "partial 18S ribosomal RNA". It matches the Rfam family "Eukaryotic small subunit ribosomal RNA", at positions 1470 to 1796 of the family's 1831-position model. The record is from RNAcentral.
CCCUUAGAUGUUCUGGGCCGCACGCGCGCUACACUGACUACUUCAACGGGUUGUUUCCUUGAUCGAAAGGUCUGGGUAAUCUUUGAAAGGUAGUCGUGAUGGGGAUAGAUCCUUGCAAUUUUCGAUCUUCAACGAGGAAUUCCUAGUAAACGCAAGUCAUCAGCUUGCAUUGAUUACGUCCCUGCCCUUUGUACACACCGCCCGUCGCACCUACCGAUUGAAUGGUCCGGUGAAUCUUUAGGACUGUGGCUGAGGCCUUGCCUUGUGCGGGUCUGGCCGUGGGAAUUUAGUUAAACCUUACCAUUUAGAGGAAGGUGAAGUCGUAACA